Molecule: ribosomal RNA, 496 nt
Filed under: uncultured bacterium
Lineage: Bacteria
Description: partial 16S ribosomal RNA
Rfam family: Bacterial small subunit ribosomal RNA
Source: RNAcentral
GACGAACGCUGGCGGCGUGCCUAAUACAUGCAAGUAGAACGCUGAAGAGAGGAGCUUGCUCUUCUUGGAUGAGUUGCGAACGGGUGAGUAACGCGUAGGUAACCUGCCUUGUAGCGGGGGAUAACUAUUGGAAACGAUAGCUAAUACCGCAUAACAAUGGAUGACACAUGUCAUUUAUUUGAAAGGGGCAAUUGCUCCACUACAAGAUGGACCUGCGUUGUAUUAGCUAGUAGGUGAGGUAAUGGCUCACCUAGGCGACGAUGCAUAGCCGACCUGAGAGGGUGAUCGGCCACACUGGGACUGAGACACGGCCCAGACUCCUACGGGAGGCAGCAGUAGGGAAUCUUCGGCAAUGGGGGCAACCCUGACCGAGCAACGCCGCGUGAGUGAAGAAGGUUUUCGGAUCGUAAAGCUCUGUUGUAAGUCAAGAACGGGUGUGAGAGUGGAAAGUGCACACUGUGACGGUAGCUUACCAGAAAGGGACGGCUAACUACGU